Molecule: long non-coding RNA, 806 nt
Organism: Anguilla anguilla (European eel)
Lineage: Eukaryota; Metazoa; Chordata; Actinopteri; Anguilliformes; Anguillidae
Exons: 3
Source: RefSeq, a predicted model, not a curated record
UUAACACAUUUCUCUAUUGAUUUUAGAUGCUCCCAAGAACACCUCAGUAUCAGUGAGCCCCUCUGGUGAAAUAGUGGAGGGCAGUUCAGUGACUCUGACCUGCAGCAGUGAUGCCAACCCACCAGUGCAGAACUACACCUGGUUUAAGAAGAAUGACACUGGAGUCUGGCAGGCAGGAUCCGGACGGAGUUUGAACUUUUCUAACUUUAGAUUCUGGAACAGAGGACAGUACUACUAUGAGGCACGGAAUAAACAUGGAGGUCAGAAUUCUACUGCUGCGUCAAUCAACACAGAAGUAGGGGAUAGGACAGUGCUUGUGUGGACGGUUGUUGGAAUCACAGUGGCUGUUGCACUCGUUGCUGCUGUUGCGUGUAUGAGAGCAGAGCCUUCAGAGAGUGACAAACGCAGCCAGCGACACAAACUCUGUGCAUCAGAGAGCUGACGAGGCCUCAGUGUGGGAUUAAAACACACAGAGGAGAGAAUCUGCAGAGAAUGAGAAAUGGUGGAGAUCAGGGUGAAAGAGUCUCUUUUUGUUUUUAACUUUACAGAACUGCUGUCUGUUUCUGCUAGAUUAUCCAUUUUAUAAAGAGCUGUUGGUGGAGGAUUUUUCCCAAAGUACUGUAACCCUGCUGCAACAUGCAUGUUCAUGUAACCCUGCUGCAACAUGCAUGUUCAUGUAACCCUGCUGCAACAUGCAUGUUCAUGUAACCCUGCUGCAUACAUGCUCCUGUGACACCGUUACACGUUUAUAUAACCCUGUUACACACACACUCAUAACUCAUGUACAUGCACAUGUAUUCUCUCAC